RNAcentral lists this ribosomal RNA (425 nucleotides) under uncultured bacterium. Its description in RNAcentral is "partial 16S ribosomal RNA". It matches the Rfam family "Bacterial small subunit ribosomal RNA", at positions 354 to 796 of the family's 1533-position model. The record is from RNAcentral.
GUAGGGAAUCUUGCGCAAUGGGCGAAAGCCUGACGCAGCCAUGCCGCGUGAAUGAUGAAGGUCUUAGGAUUGUAAAAUUCUUUCACCGGGGACGAUAAUGACGGUACCCGGAGAAGAAGCUCCGGCUAACUUCGUGCCAGCAGCCGCGGUAAUACGAAGGGGGCUAGCGUUGCUCGGAAUUACUGGGCGUAAAGGGAGCGUAGGCGGACAUUUAAGUCAGGGGUGAAGUCCCGAGGCUCAACCUCGGAACUGCCUUUGAUACUGGGUGUCUUGAGUGUGAGAGAGGUGAGUGGAACUCCGAGUGUAGAGGUGAAAUUCGUAGAUAUUCGGAAGAACACCAGUGGCGAAGGCGACUCACUGGCUCAUUACUGACGCUGAGGCUCGAAAGCGUGGGGAGCAAACAGGAUUAGAAACCCGAGUAGUCC